AGAAAAGCGUUGAGAAGGAAAAGUAAAUUGGACAAGCAUUUAAUAGAGAGCCUCUGCUGGUGGAAAUGAGGUAAAUGAACCCUUUUGAAAAUGACCUUUGAGCUUCGUACCGAAAGCUUUGGCAAGUAGGCUACGACGAGAUGGUACUCGUUACAACAGCAGCAGUAUCUCUCAUAUGUGGACGUACUGAUUGAGGCAAAUAGUUUGAGCUAUUUGUAAAUAUAGGUGGUAACACGGGUAUACUCGUCCUAAUC
Molecule: non-coding RNA, 254 nt
Filed under: Lysinibacillus sphaericus
Lineage: Bacteria; Bacillati; Bacillota; Bacilli; Caryophanales; Bacillaceae
Description: T-box sequence
Rfam family: T-box leader
About the family: Uncharged tRNA acts as the effector for transcription antitermination of genes in the T-box leader family. T-boxes are found upstream of many aminoacyl-tRNA synthetase genes and some amino acid biosynthetic genes usually in Gram-positive bacteria.
Source: RNAcentral